CGAGUCUUAACUGGGCGAAUGAGUUGCAGGGUAUAGACCCGAAACCCGGUGAUCUAUCCAUGGGCAGGUUGAAGGUUGGGUAACACUAACUGGAGGACCGAACCGACUAAUGUUGAAAAAUUAGCGGAUGACUUGUGGAUGGGGGUGAAAGGCCAAUCAAACCGGGAGAUAGCUGGUUCUCCCCGAAAGCUAUUUAGGUAGCGCCUCGUGAACUCAUCUUCGGGGGUAGAGCACUGUUUCGACUAGGGGGUCAUCCCGACUUACCAACUCGAUGCAAACUGCGAAUACCGAAGAAUGUUAUCACGGGAGACACACGGCGGGUGCUAACGUCCGUCGUGAAGAGGGAAACAACCCAGACCGCCAGCUAAGGUCCCAAAGUCAUGGUUAAGUGGGAAACGAAGUGGGAAGGCUCAGACAGCCAGGAUGUUGGCUUAGAAGCAGCCAUCAUUUAAAGAAAGCGUAAUAGCUCACUGGUCGAGUCGGCCCGCGCGGAAGAUGUAACGGGGCUAAACCAUGCACCGAAGCUGCGGCAGCGAACGUAUCACUUAAAUUUGUUUGAGUGAAUAACGAUUGACGGAACGAAGUGACGUCAAUGCGUUAAUGAAAGUCGAGGCG
Molecule: ribosomal RNA, 615 nt
Filed under: Proteus mirabilis
Lineage: Bacteria; Pseudomonadati; Pseudomonadota; Gammaproteobacteria; Enterobacterales; Morganellaceae
Description: partial 23S ribosomal RNA
Rfam family: Bacterial large subunit ribosomal RNA
Source: RNAcentral